CCCCCUUCCCCAAUCAUUCGUGCAAAACUGCAAAUCCCUUUGAAUCAAAGUGAGAGCACCAAAUCAAAACGGCAAAACCCUAGCCGUAGGUUCCUUUUCGCCACCGUCCCCAGGUUCUCGGAGCCUCCGCUUCUUCCUCUUCCCCCUGUCCGGAACCGAGGUAGCUCGGCACGUCGUCUACUGGCUUCUCUGUUCGUGGCUUGGAGCAGCUCGCAGUUUGCCGUCGUCUCACCUCUUGCCGUCGUCUCGCCGGUUGCUGUCCAUGUCUCCGUCGAAGUAAAGGGUGCUUCGCCGCCGGUGGGGACAGACCGUCCUCCCUCGCUGCCGGUAAGCACGGGUGUCUCAAUUUAUUUUGGUAAUUUUGUUAAUUUUAUUUAUUCUUAUUUUUGAGUUGCUAGUGGCUAAUUUUGAGUUUUGAUGGUGCUAUAGUUCAGUGUUUCACUACAUUAUUUAUGCUGGAAUUUUUCUGAUUCUGAGUUGUUUAUGCUGAUUUAUUUGAUUCUGAGUUGUUAAUGCUGAUUUUUAUUCUGAGCUGUUGAUUCUGGUUGGUUGCUGAUUUUUCUGAUUUUGAGUUGUUGAUGGUGCUAUUGUGCAGGACUUCACUGCAUUGUGCUAGAAUUUUUCUGAUUAGUUGUUUAUGCUAUGAUUUUGAUUUUGAGUUGUUUAUGCUGAAAAUUUUCUAAUUCUGAGUUAUUUAUGCUAAUUUUUUUUUAAUUCUGAAUUGUUGAUUCUCUUUGCUGAUUUUUCUGAUUCUUUUGUUAAUUUUUUGUAUUUAUAACUUUUAUGAAACUGGAAUAACUGAUGGAGGUAGAACAUUAUGUUUUUGCCAUUUACAUGUAUUUUGAUUUUUGUUAGCUAGAAACGUUGAUGUGUGAAGUUGUUUAUAAACUUUUAAUGAUAAAUUAUGGAUAAUUUAUUAUGUGAAAUUAUAAAAUUUUAAAUUUUUGUUAGUUUAGAAUUCAUUGAAUUUAAAUAUUAAAAUUAUAUAUUAAAUUUUUAAUAAUUUUAUUUUAUAUUAAUUAAACCAGUUGAACUCCAGUUGAAUCUUUUAACUAUUGAAUUGGUCACUUUACUGGUUCAUUGACCGGUUCAGUUCUCGCAACCUUGGUUGAUUUUAUACUCUGUCCCAAUCUGCUAAAUGACCUAGUUUUAGUGUAAUCAAUAGGGGUUGGGUUGGGUGAGCUUAAUAUCUGACAUUCUAAGUUGGCACUUAACGAUAACAUGCCAGGUAUAUGCUUUAUUGACAAAAAAAAACUAAUCAGUCUCACGAAAUUAAUUAUAAAAGGCUGGAAAGAGAUUUUAUUUUUAAUGGGGUCUAAUUGUCUUUUUCAUGUAUUUGUGAGAUCGUUUAGGGUGUUUUUCAAUGUUCUGAAAACUUGUUCAAAUCGGCAGUCGAACCAGUUAAACCGAGAACCGUUAGUAAACACAGUUCGAACAAUAGACAAAACCGUCAAAUUCAAAAACCGAAGUUAGACCGACAAACCAGCCGAGAAUUGGUUGGUCGAACCAAACCGUGACCCGACCAGUUUUUGAAUUUUGCCAAAAAAAAAAAGCGUUUUGACUUGGCCCCCCAAAAGGAACCCUAGGACUCUUUCACCCAGACACCCACACUGCACACACCCACUCUCGAGCCUCCCCUCCAGCCCUCCAUUCUCACCUCUCGCUCUCACCACGUUCAGUCUCCACCGCGAGCUUCCGGCGCAACCCCCGUCUAGUCACCGCCGCUGUCGCAAGGUCGAAGUCACUCACCUGCACAGACCCAUGGCGCCAGCUUUCCGUUUGCGCAACAAGCUUUCCUUUCAGCCGUCAAAAUCUCAAAAUCUCAGCCACUGCCAGCGCCAGUUGCUGUCCCGAGUGUCUACCUGCCGGCGCCAGCUCUGUUUGACCCUUCCACCCCAGCCACUGUUGCUUUGCAUUCUUCCUGGUCUUCCACUAAGCCUAGGCAGCAGAAUAAGCAUGACUGCAAGUGGAUACAAGCAUGGAGUAAGCUUCAAUGCCUCACCACCAUGUUCUGUAAGCAGAGCACACUUUUAACACAUGUACCAAACAGUUAACACCUUUCCCAUUUUUCUUUACCGACUUUCCCUCUGCCUCACUCUCACUCUCAAUCCGCUGCUGCUGCCAUCCUGCCUCCGGCCUCGCUUUCUCGCUGCUCAUCAGCCUUGCGCCAGCUUCGUUGACAUCUGUCUCCCUUCGCAUCCAGCCACUCGCCGAGUAGUCUCUCCGCACCCGUCACUCUGUCAGUGUGCCUUUGCAUCACCUCGACUGUCCUUCGUCUGUCUCUCUGUCCAUCUCGCUUCUCAGCCUUUGCCUCUCGUCAUCCAUAGCUGUCCAUCCUCACCGCUCUCAGCCUCACAGGUCGAACCGAUUAGACCGGAGCCAAGGCCUAACCUAUUUCAACCUCCCUUAUUAAGCUUCAUCUCUUCUUCCCGUUUUUCAUACGAAAUGUGCUGGAAAGAAAUGAAACCCUUGCUUCAAAGAUUCAAUUCUAUGUAAUUUUUAACUCGGAGCUCCGAUUGACGAGCCGUCAGCGACCACAUAUUCGUUUCAGAAUUCUCUUCAAUUUUAUUCGAACAAAGUGGUGAACUCUAAUAGUGGGUAAUCACUAGGUUUUAUCCAAUUGAUUCGUGGAUUGUGCACUUGUUGAUUUGAAGUUCAAUUGGACGGUUCGGAACAAAAUUUGGGUGAUCAAGUUUGAGAAAUUGACGUUUGGAAGCUUGAAGCUUGUGAAAGGAGAUAUUUUUAAGGAGUUUCGAGCUUAGAGCAGAAUCAGCAAGAUGCAGGUCGAGAGAUACCUCACUGAGCGUCUGGAAUUUCCUGUGCAAGCGAAGUUUGAUUAUUUUGGGUUGCUGUAUUUUGUAUUGAUGCUAUGUAUAUAAAUUCUCCUUCGUAUAUAUUUUUUGUCCCUCCUAGAGGUUGACUUGGAGAAACAGGUAUUUAUUUUGUAGUAUGAGUUAUAUUUUGGGUUGUAUAAACAUAUAUAAUUAUAUAUUCUGGCUGGCCUUAGCUUCGUAGGUCGAGUCUGGAGCUUGAUAUCUGUAUUUUGGAAAUCCGAUUUGUAUAUUAUGUUUUUAGCCUUCUUUUGAUCUUACCUAUCUGUUUUACGCUUAUUUGUACGAGUGUGACGAUUUUCUAUUUUCGCUUUUGCUUAACUUCUCUUUCAAGACUACUAGAUAUGAAUUUUUUUAGCUAUAUUUAUAUAUGUCUUUUCUUUUAAAGGUCGUAAUAUGUCGCCACCUCUGUUUUACGACUUAAGCGUAAGGCUCUGUGUGUUAGGGUGUUACAUUAUGGUAUCAGAGCAGUUCGUUUCUGUAGAGCCUAAGGGAUGGACUGACUAUGCUUAUGAGCAUACUCUGAGUCGUGUUUAUGUGCUAUUUAGAAUAUCUGACUGAUAAAUAUGGCAUGAAUGUUCAUGAGCAUAAAUUUGGGACUUUAAAGUAUUAGACUUGCGAUAUUGAGACUGAUCACCUUGAUAUCACUUGUUUGGUGUUAAUAGGAACCAGAUUGCGACUCGUGGACACAGUCGCGGGUGAGGCAGGGGUAGGAUAGGUACCACAGACCCUGAAACAAUGGGAGACGACCCUGUGAACUUUAUGGCUGUCUUGGAAAACAUGGCUGCGGCUAUGCAAGCAACAGUCGAAGUGCUAGGGAAUUAAGCUGGAAAUGGGAAUGCCGCUAAUGGGAUAAUGGGCUAAUGACGGUUGCAACUUUUCUGACGAUACAUCUACCGAUCUUCGGAGGAACCAAGAACCCCACUGAGGCCGAUAACUGGUUUCAAGCAAUCGAGCGGGCUUUACAAGCACAACAAGUCCUUGAAGAUCAGCAUGUUGAGUUUGCAACUUAUCAGUUAGUGGGUGAAGCUCAGUAUUGGUGGCAAUGACGCGACACCUUCUGUAGUAGGUUGAUGCUAUUAUACCCUGGGAUGCAUUCCGAACUGAGUUUUACAAGAAAUACUUUUCUAACUCGGUCAGAAUGGCUAAGAAGCUUGAACUACUGCAAUUAAAAUAGGGUCAUAUGUCAGUCGCUGAAUACACGAACAAGUUUGAGAAAUUGUGCCGAUUCUCUAGGAUUUGUCAAGGGGCUCCAAGAGACUUUGAGGAGUGGAAGUGCAUCAAAUAUGAAGGAGGACUUCAAAGUGAUAUAUUGAGUUCUGUGGGCCCGAUAAAAAUAAGAGUUUUAUCAGAAGAUUGUUUAAAGAAGGCUGCUUUGGCAAGGGGUGAAAGCCGGGAGUUCCGCUGAAGGGACCACAAGCAGAAUUUUACACCGAGAGGUCAAGAGUUCAAGAGAAGUGGCAGUGGCCAAGGGAGUGAUAAAGGGAAGCAAGUAACGCCUUACCCAGAGGAUGUGAGGUGCCAAAGUUGCGAAAGUUUUCAUCCGAAUAGGCCAUGCCAAAAGGAUUUAGGUCUGUGUUAUAGGUGCGGGGCACCAGGUCAUAUCUCCAGAGAUUGCUCCCACAGAAAGGCUCAAGACGCUGAUCAAUCGUGAGCACAAGAAGGAGGUAAUCUUCAAAAUGUUAACAGAAUUCUAAUUGCAUUAUAUGAUAUUGGG
Molecule: long non-coding RNA, 4548 nt
Organism: Arachis stenosperma
Lineage: Eukaryota; Viridiplantae; Streptophyta; Magnoliopsida; Fabales; Fabaceae
Exons: 7
Source: RefSeq, a predicted model, not a curated record